CGUAGGUGGCGAGCGUUGUCCGGAAUUACUGGGUGUAAAGGGCGUGUAGGCGGGAAGAUAAGUCAGAUGUGAAAUUCCAGGGCUCAACCCUGGCGCUGCAUCUGAACUAUUUUUCUUGAGUGCCGGAGAGGGAAGCGGAAUUCCUAGUGUAGCGGUGAAAUGCGUAGAUAUUAGGAGGAACACCAGUGGCGAAGGCGGCUUUCUGGACGGUAACUGACGCUGAGGCGCGAAAGCGUGGGGAGCAAACAGGAUUAGAUACCCUGGUAGUCCACGCUGUAAACGAUGGAUACUAGGUGUAGGAGGUAUCGACCCCUUCUGUGCCGCAGUUAACACAAUAAGUAUCCCACCUGGGGAGUACGGCCGCAAGGUUG
Molecule: ribosomal RNA, 371 nt
Filed under: uncultured organism
Description: bacterial SSU rRNA
Rfam family: Bacterial small subunit ribosomal RNA
Source: RNAcentral